ACAUAGAGGCAAAGAUAUUUACCAUAGCAGCUAUGGUUGACUAUUAUUGUAGAACCGGGAUCUAUAUCUGAUGAUCUUUGAUGUCAAAGAGGUUACAUCAAGGAGGGCAUAUCUGAUGAUCUCAGUGAACAAGGAGGGUAUAUCUGAUGAUCUCAGUGAUCAAGGAGGGUAUAUCUGAUGAUCUCAGUGAUCAAGGAGGGCAUAUCUGAUGAUCUCAGUGAUCAAGGAGGGUAUAUCUGAUGAUCUCUGUGAUCAAGGAGGUUAUAUUUGAUGAUCUCAGUGAUCAAGGAGGGCAUAUCUGAUGAUCUCAGUGAUCAAGGAGGGUAUAUCUGAUGAUCUCAGUGAUCAAGGAGGGUAUAUCUGAUGAUCUCAGUGAUCAAGGAGGGUAUAUCUGAUGAUCUCUGUGAU
Long non-coding RNA from Haliotis rubra (blacklip abalone), 408 nucleotides. RefSeq lists it as uncharacterized. NCBI's taxonomy places the organism in Eukaryota, Metazoa, Mollusca, Gastropoda, Lepetellida, Haliotidae. The record is from RefSeq and is a predicted model, not a curated record. The transcript has 2 exons.